Molecule: non-coding RNA, 76 nt
Organism: Bos taurus (domestic cattle)
Lineage: Eukaryota; Metazoa; Chordata; Mammalia; Artiodactyla; Bovidae
Source: Rfam
UCCCUGAUGGUCCAGUGGUUAGGACGCUGCGCUUUCAUAGCGGGUGGGGUUGGGGGUUCGAUCCCUCAUUGGGGAA